RNAcentral lists this ribosomal RNA (495 nucleotides) under uncultured bacterium. Its description in RNAcentral is "partial 16S ribosomal RNA". It matches the Rfam family "Bacterial small subunit ribosomal RNA", at positions 28 to 507 of the family's 1533-position model. The record is from RNAcentral.
GACGAACGCUGGCGGCGUGCCUAAUACAUGCAAGUAGAACGCUGAAGGAGGAGCUUGCUUCUCUGGAUGAGUUGCGAACGGGUGAGUAACGCGUAGGUAACCUGCCUGGUAGCGGGGGAUAACUAUUGGAAACGAUAGCUAAUACCGCAUAAGAGUAGAUGUUGCAUGACAUUUGCUUAAAAGGUGCAAUUGCAUCACUACCAGAUGGACCUGCGUUGGAUUAGCUAGUUGGUGGGGUAACGGCUCACCAAGGCGACGAUACAUAGCCGACCUGGGAGGGUGAUCGGCCACACUGGGACUGAGACACGGCCCAGACUCCUACGGGAGGCAGCAGUAGGGAAUCUUCGGGAAUGGACGGAAGUCUGACCGAGCAACGCCGCGUGAGUGAAGAAGGUUUUCGGAUCGUAAAGCUCUGUUGUAAGAGAAGAACGAGUGUGGGAGUGGAAAGUUCACACUGUGACGGUAUCUUACCAGAAAGGGACGGCUAACUACGUG